AAUCAACGCUGGCGGCGUGCCUAACACAUGCAAGUCGAGCGAGAAAAGGGGAGCAAUCCUCUGAGUACAGCGGCGCACGGGUGAGUAACACGUGGGUAAUCUGCCCUGGAGUGGGGAAUAACACCGGGAAACCGGUGCUAAUACCGCAUACGAUCGCGAUGUCUGCGGACGUUGUGAUGAAAGGAGCAAUUCGCUCCAGGAGGAGCCCGCGGCUGAUUAGCUAGUUGGUGAGGUAAUGGCUCACCAAGGCUACGAUCAGUAUCCGGUCUG
Molecule: ribosomal RNA, 270 nt
Filed under: uncultured bacterium
Lineage: Bacteria
Description: partial 16S ribosomal RNA
Rfam family: Bacterial small subunit ribosomal RNA
Source: RNAcentral